CAGGAUGAACGCUGGCGGCGUGCUUAACACAUGCAAGUCGAACGGAGUUUAGAUGAAACCUAGUGAUUCUAAACUUAGUGGCGGACGGGUGAGUAACGCGUGGGUAACCUGCCCUAUACAGGGGGAUAACAGUUGGAAACGACUGCUAACACCGCAUAACAUCGCGAGAGCGCAUGAUCUUGCGAUCAAAUAUUUAUAGGUAUAGGAUGGGCCCGCGUCUGAUUAGCUGGUUGGUGAGGUAACGGCCCACCAAGGCGACGAUCAGUAGCCGUACUGAGAGGUAGAACGGCCACAUUGGGACUGAGACACGGCCCAAACUCCUACGGGAGGCAGCAGUGGGGAAUAUUGGUCAAUGGGGGAAACCCUGAACCAGCCGACGCCGCGUGAGUGAAGAAGUAUUUCGGUAUGUAAAGCUCUAUCAGCAGGGACGAUGAUGACGGUACCUGACUAAGAAGCCCCGGCUAACUACGUGCCAGCCGCAGC
This 483-nucleotide ribosomal RNA is filed under the name uncultured bacterium. RNAcentral describes it as "bacterial SSU rRNA". It matches the Rfam family "Bacterial small subunit ribosomal RNA", at positions 25 to 518 of the family's 1533-position model. The record is from RNAcentral.